Lolium perenne is the source of this 1188-nucleotide non-coding RNA. NCBI's taxonomy places the organism in Eukaryota, Viridiplantae, Streptophyta, Magnoliopsida, Poales, Poaceae. The record is from RefSeq and is a predicted model, not a curated record.
UAAUUUUGUUGGACCCAGUCUUAUGUUAGUUCAUUCUGAUCUUUUGGUCAGGUCUGGAUCCACUGGGCAUGGCUGUCGCCGUUGUCAGUUCUCCUUGUCUUUAGACCUGCUUUCAAGAUACCCGACUAGGAUCUCUCGCUAAUGAGUUCACGUCUGCCCUCCGCCCCCUCUCCAAAAUCUCACUCCGUUGUGCCGUGGUACAACGGGAGACCGGUGGCAUUGAUGACCGCCCAUGGAAGCGAGAGACUGAUGCAAGAGGCAUGAUAUGUUGUGUUCUUUUCCUUUUCGUCAACUGAUAAUGCUUCCGGAUAAUUAUACACUCAACGGGCGCAAAGCAACCCAAAAUAUAUUUCUCUUCUCAUGGGAGGUACAUGGGCAACACUCACUUCGCUGCUGCUCUGCCUCUACAUCCUCUUCGACGUUCAAUAGGAGGAUCAUGUGCUGCUUGUCCGCUUCCACAUUGAGCCAGGAGGUUAAGAAGAUAAGAUAUGUAACAUGUAAUGAGUUAAAAGAAGCCCACUCAGGUUAUUGAUAGGAGAGGAAAAAAUACGCAAACAUCUAUAUUUUCAGUUCAAAUAGAGCCGCAGAAACACUACACAUCAGAUGAUUGUCCAGUUGCGGCUUAAAUCAAGGAAGCUCUAGAUGGCUUCGUUAAUUUUAGAUGCAGAUGUUAGAUUUCUGUAAAGCAAGAGCUUAUAUAAUGGUAGACCCAUGUCACUUGAAUUGAUAUUGGUACAUACAGAUAUAGCUGGCCCAGUUCACUAUUCUUUUGUGGUAUUUCAGGAUGUAACCUUAUUUUGACUUAUAUAGAAUCACUAAUUUCAAACGAGAGCAACAUACAUAAAGGAGCUCAAGAUGUUCUUAUUCACAUGAAGGGUCAGCGAUGUAGGAGCUGGGCCGGUCACCGUCGCCUCCCAAACACCACUCACACCUUGCCACCUCAAUCUCCUGCCCAACCACGAGGAGGUCGUGUCGGAAGAUUUUCGCUACGGCCCUACCUUGCUCAACUAUGUGGAUGCCGCGUGGCCACUUCUUUUUUUGGUACACCCUUGCCCUGCUCUAUGUCUGAUGUAGUGAUGGUUUAAGCUAACUGCAUGCUUCUCUACAAGGGGUGUAUACGGUGAACAUGUCCAGAGUGUUCUUACACUUUUCAUAGUUAACUUCUUUAGCAACAACUUUUUUGUGUAC